CGGGAAGUGGCUCAGCUUGGUAGAGCACUUGGUUUGGGACCAAGGGGUCGCAGGUUCGAAUCCUGUCUUCCCGA
RNAcentral lists this transfer RNA (74 nucleotides) under Staphylococcus aureus. RNAcentral's name for it is "tRNA-Pro". It matches the Rfam family "tRNA". Rfam says of the family: Transfer RNA (tRNA) molecules are approximately 80 nucleotides in length. Their secondary structure includes four short double-helical elements and three loops (D, anti-codon, and T loops). Lineage: Bacteria; Bacillati; Bacillota; Bacilli; Caryophanales; Staphylococcaceae. The record is from RNAcentral.